This 439-nucleotide ribosomal RNA is filed under the name uncultured bacterium. RNAcentral describes it as "partial 16S ribosomal RNA". It matches the Rfam family "Bacterial small subunit ribosomal RNA", at positions 338 to 795 of the family's 1533-position model. The record is from RNAcentral.
CCUACGGGAGGCUGCAGUGGGGAAUAUUGCACAAUGGGGGAAACCCUGAUGCAGCGACGCAGCGUGAGUGAAGAAGUAUUUCGGUACGUAAAGCUCUAUCAGCAGGGAAGAAAAUGACGGUACCUGACUAAGAAGCCCCGGCUAACUACGUGCCAGCAGCCGCGUUAAUACGUAGGGGGCAAUCGUUAUACGGAUUUACUGGGUGUAAAGGGAGGGUAGACGGCAGCGCAAGUCUGGAGUGAAAUCCCAUGGCUUAACAAUGGAACUGCUUUGGAAACGGUGCAGCUAGAGGGCAGGAGAGGUAAGCGGAAUGCCGGGUUGAGCGGUGAAAUGCGUAGAUAUUAGGAGGAACACCAGUGGCGAAGGCGGCUUACUGGACUGUAACUGACGUUGAGGCUCGAAAGCGUGGGGAGCAAACAGGAUUAGAUACCCGGUAGUC